ACCAGCUGAUGAGUCCCAAAUACGACGAAACGCGCGUUCUGGAU
Molecule: non-coding RNA, 44 nt
Filed under: Schistosoma mansoni
Lineage: Eukaryota; Metazoa; Platyhelminthes; Trematoda; Strigeidida; Schistosomatidae
Source: RNAcentral